UACCAGCACCCCGAGUGGUCGGGACGAUUAUUGGGCCUAAAGCAUCCGUAGCCGGUCCUACAAGUCUUCCGUUAAAUCCACCUGCUUAACAGAUGGGCUGCGGAAGAUACUAUAGGGCUAGGAGGCGGGAGAGGCAAGCGGUACUCAGUGGGUAGGGGUAAAAUCCUCUGAUCCAUUGAAGACCACCGGUGGCGAAGGCGGCAUCCUGGACCGGCAUUGACGCUGAGGAGCGAAAGCCAGGGGAGCAAACGGG
RNAcentral lists this ribosomal RNA (253 nucleotides) under uncultured bacterium. Its description in RNAcentral is "partial 16S ribosomal RNA". It matches the Rfam family "Archaeal small subunit ribosomal RNA", at positions 474 to 727 of the family's 1478-position model. The record is from RNAcentral.